Molecule: ribosomal RNA, 472 nt
Filed under: uncultured bacterium
Lineage: Bacteria
Description: partial 16S ribosomal RNA
Rfam family: Bacterial small subunit ribosomal RNA
Source: RNAcentral
AGUGAACGCUGGCGGUAGGCCUAACACAUGCAAGUCGAACGGCAGCACAGUAAGAGCUUGCUCUUACGGGUGGCGAGUGGCGGACGGGUGAGGAAUACAUCGGAAUCUACUUUUUCGUGGGGGAUAACGUAGGGAAACUUACGCUAAUACCGCAUACGACCUACGGGUGAAAGCAGGGGAUCUUCGGACCUUGCGCGAUUGAAUGAGCCGAUGUCGGAUUAGCUAGUUGGCGGGGUAAAGGCCCACCAAGGCGACGAUCCGUAGCUGGUCUGAGAGGAUGAUCAGCCACACUGGAACUGAGACACGGUCCAGACUCCUACGGGAGGCAGCAGUGGGGAAUAUUGCACAAUGGGCGGAAGCCUGAUGCAGCAACGCCGCGUGCGGGAUGACGGCCUUCGGGUUGUAAACCGCUUUCGCCUGUGACGAAGCGUGAGUGACGGUAAUGGGUAAAGAAGCACCGGCUAACUACGUG